Long non-coding RNA from Gigantopelta aegis, 1104 nucleotides. RefSeq lists it as uncharacterized. The transcript is spliced from 3 exons. The record is from RefSeq and is a predicted model, not a curated record. NCBI's taxonomy places the organism in Eukaryota, Metazoa, Mollusca, Gastropoda, Neomphalida, Peltospiridae.
AAAAGCAAGUUAUGGGCACUUAGCAGACCUUUCGCUUUCGCCCUAAUUUACGUGCAAAUGUUUGUCGGACAUUAAGUGGAAAGGGGUACAUACAAAUAAUGGCCAUCACUUGAGAGACACUUUGGAAGAGCAAAGAGGAAUGAAGUUAAAAGAUUAAAUGUGCGUAAAAGCCGAGAAAACUGUGAUUGUGAGAUGAUAAGAGAUCGGGCCAGCUCCCAGCUAGCACAUCGUCUGUCUCGGAAUAAAAUCAAUAAUUUAUCCUCAUUCCACGUGCCGAGUCAGCGCGGACACAACAGCUACAAUUACAGCUUACGUAAAAAGAUGACAAAAAUAAUUUCAUCCAUAAUAUCAAGUGGACAGAAAAAUAUUGAUGUUUCCUAUUUCUAUGCGAUGCAAAUUACAACUUACACAAAAAGUUACCAAUAUUAUUGGCAAUUUAACUUCAAAUACUUUGUAUUUGUGCUCAAGAAUAUAACUUGGCUGUUAUGUUUUAUUCAUAAUAUCAUGUCCAGCAUUUGUGAUGAUAGACAAUGUUUCUUAUUUCUCUAUAUAUUGUCACAAACUACAGACUGUAUGAAUGGAACUGUAUUAUCAAUAUCUCAUUCUUAAAUAUCAUAUGUUGCAUCUGUGCCGACAGAAAAAUCAUGUUUUGUGUUUCUACUACAUUGUGUAUAUUGUGUAAAAAGAUAAGACGCCAAUGGAAUAAUGUCAAAUAAGAAACAUUCUGAAUUAAUGCAUCUCUCCUGUAACAUUUUCAGUGACAAAUGUUUAGUGUAUUAAAGGCCUGUAUUUAAAUAUCACUAAACGCUUGUUUCCUUUUUAAAUAAGAAAAAUAUACAGACUUUUCUGUUGUUAAUAUUUCCAAGAAAAAAUGUUAAGAGCCCUAUAAAUAAUACAGCACUCAACUGUACUGUAAAACCUUACAAUGAUGUGCUUUAAGUGUUGUGUAUUGAUAUUAUCUGAGCACUGGGCCUUGAGACCAUUACAGGAACUGACAGUUACAGAGUGCCUGCUGCCUUCAGACUGUCACUGCUACACUGGCGAUAUCUUUAAUAAAGAAUUUUCUGUCGCCCAUUUCAGAACAUGAUUCAUAGGGGUCACUUU